Molecule: long non-coding RNA, 2005 nt
Organism: Triticum dicoccoides
Lineage: Eukaryota; Viridiplantae; Streptophyta; Magnoliopsida; Poales; Poaceae
Exons: 5
Source: RefSeq, a predicted model, not a curated record
CGCCAUCCCCAAUGUGAGCAAGCUGGCUAGGGUUCACCGCCCCCCUUUGCUGAUCGAAUUGAUUUACACUAGUUACAGCAGCAGCAAGUCGAUCUACUCCCCCUUUGCUGAAUGUUGAUGGAAUCGAAUGGCGCCAUCAGGUGGAGGAGGAGGAGCUCUGUUGCGGGGGUUUUCUACCCUGGUUGCGAAGCAAGGCGGGAGCCGGCACCUCGUCGGUGCUGCGGAUCGGGACCUUGCCCUUGGGAAGGUCAUUGUUCCCUUCGCGGCCGAUACAGUAGUGGGACUGCAUAUUGCAAGUGCCUCAAAAUGCUUAUGCGCAGCAACUCAAAGUCUGUUUGUGGCUGUUUGGCGAUCUGGUUACCCCGGCGGACCUCACUGUGUUCUAAGCGUCAACCUUGUGCACACAAGAACAUGAGGGUACCCUGCUCCAGCGUCCAGAGAUAAUUCAGAGUUAAUUUUGUAGCUAUUCCAAGCUGCGACCUUGUGCAACCUUGUGGGAACAAGCACCUGUUCUAAGCUGUGACCUUAUUUGUGAGGCUGCUACCAAUUUCAGAUUUACUUCUAUAGCAUUUUGUUUAGAAAGUAUUUUCAUUUAGAUUUUACUACAACCGUCCAUAUCAUGUGCAUAAUAUUUUUGUCAUAGAUAGUUAAUUGAGUUCUUCCAGUGGACAAAGCACCCUUGCUGUUGAACGCUGCAUAAUUUGUUUGUUUUCACCAGGGUAUCCUCUAGGAGGAGAUUCAGAAAGAUUUAGAAAUUUUCGAUCUUUGGAAGUGAUAUGAAUGGCUACAUUUUAAAAAUUUAAUCAUAUGAACAUAUAUAGUAGAUGAUAUAAUUUGAUCCAGAGUAGCAAUAGCUUGGAAGCUUAGAACGGUUCUUGAGAAAAAAGCUAUACUCAGAUAGAUAUGCAUGAGCAGUACAAUAGCUAACCCACUAGCAGCGCCUCAGACAUGUGGGUCUUAUCUGUGAUUCCCCUUCUUGCAGCCUUUGUUUGUUCUGAAAGAUUUCUUCAUGUAUCAUAAUAAUAGAAAGGGAUUUUCUGCGGGACAGACCAACUGACUAAUGGUUGUUUGCUUUGUAGGAAUUGGGAUGGGUGCUGUAUGUUAGAUCCCUUGCAUGCAAGGAUCAGAUGCAUAACAUAGUAUGAACAUGCUGUAGAAAUGUUACGGAGGGACAUGCAUUUUCAUCUUCUAAUAUGCACUGCUGGCAUAUAAGUUCUGUUUGUUUCACACCCACAUAGUGACAUAAAAGCUUCCAUGGUUAAUUUUCUGAACCAUUAUUUGGGCCUUGGGCUUGGUAAAUUGGAAAGCCGUUGUGAACCAGCAACCUACAUGUAGCCUGUAGCGAAGCCAUCAGAGGAAUUAGCGCCUCAAAAAAAUCAUAGGAACUAACGGAGAAGGCUUCAGCGGUUGGUGUGUGGCUGCGUGCGGGCCUGCGGCAACCCUGGCAACGAGGAUGCUAAUGCGAGGGCGCGAGGUACGAUUGCCGCCGGCGGACAGAGAUUGGCAUCCGGCGUCGUUGGCGUCCUGCAUCGUCCUAUGUUCUGCAGGGAACAUGUCUGAUACGGUGAAUUGGUGAUAACUUGGAGAUUUCAUUUGAAUCAGGGACUGAGGCAACCAAAUAAGUGGAAUAAAAAGUUAGACGUUGUGGCAGCCAGUGAGGGGUGAUCGACGCUGACUAGCGCAGCCGGUGGGUGCUGUGCUCUUCAACCACUCAGAGGCGGACUUCUCCGUGAAGCUGGUGGCCAUGUCGCGUAGUUGAUUGUCCAGGUGAUUUCGAUGCCGGAGGUCGCCGAGGUAGAGGACCUCGACGCCACCGUCCGGGGGGAGGGAGGAUUCGGGUCCACCGGCGUCUAAGCUCCGAGCCUUGGUAGAUACAUCUAGGGAAGUUGUCUGUUUAGGUUGGUGAUGGAACACCAGGGAAGGUACCCACCUUUCGAUGAUCAUUGUGUGUGUCUGAUGUUAAAUGGAAUCUUGAGAAUGUUAUGUGACGUUGGUUUGGUUUGCA